UACGAGGGGGGCUAGCGUUGCUCGGAAUUACUGGGCGUAAAGCGCACGUAGGCGGUCUUUUAAGUCGUGGGUGAAAUCCUGGAGCUCAACUCCAGAACUGCCUUCGAUACUGGAAGACUUGAGUCUGGGAGAGGUGAGUGGAACUGCGAGUGUAGAGGUGAAAUUCGUAGAUAUUCGCAAGAACACCAGUGGCGAAGGCGGCUCACUGGCCCGGUGCUGACACUGAGGUGCGAAAGCGUGGGGAGCAAACAGG
RNAcentral lists this ribosomal RNA (253 nucleotides) under uncultured bacterium. RNAcentral describes it as "partial 16S ribosomal RNA". It matches the Rfam family "Bacterial small subunit ribosomal RNA", at positions 524 to 776 of the family's 1533-position model. The record is from RNAcentral.